UGAGGAAUAUUGGUCAAUGGACGAGAGUCUGAACCAGCCAAGUAGCGUGAAGGAUGACUGCCCUAUGGGUUGUAAACUUCUUUUAUAUGGGAAUAAAAUGUUCCACGUGUGGGAUUUUGUAUGUACCAUAUGAAUAAGGAUCGGCUAACUCCGUGCCAGCAGCCGCGGUAAUACGGAGGAUCCGAGCGUUAUCCGGAUUUAUUGGGUUUAAAGGGAGCGUAGGUGGAUUGUUAAGUCAGUUGUGAAAGUUUGCGGCUCAACCGUAAAAUUGCAGUUGAAACUGGCAGUCUUGAGUACAGUAGAGGUGGGCGGAAUUCGUGGUGUAGCGGUGAAAUGCUUAGAUAUCACGAAGAACUCCGAUUGCGAAGGCAGCUCACUGGACUGCAACUGACACUGAGGCUCGAAAGUGUGGGUAUCAAACA
RNAcentral lists this ribosomal RNA (422 nucleotides) under uncultured bacterium. Its description in RNAcentral is "bacterial SSU rRNA". It matches the Rfam family "Bacterial small subunit ribosomal RNA", at positions 355 to 774 of the family's 1533-position model. RNAcentral also lists the same sequence under 1 other name. The record is from RNAcentral.